CUGAGACCUGAUGCCGAGCCGAUUGUGGUGAAGUGGAUGAUCCUAUGCUGUCGAGAAAAGCCUCUAGCGAGUUUCAUGGCGGCCCGUACUCUAAACCGACUCAGGUGGUCAGGUAGAGAAUACCGAGGCGUUCGGGUGAACUAUGGUUAAGGAACUCGGCAAAAUGCCCCCGUAACUUCGGGAGAAGGGGGGCCAUGUCUGGUGAUGAGUCUUGCACUCUGAGCUGGGUGUGGCCGCAGAGACCAGCGAGAAGCGACUGUUUACUAAAAACACAGGUCCGUGCGAAGCCGUAAGGCGAUGUAUACGGACUGACGCCUGCCCGGUGCUGGAACGUUAAGGGGACCGGUUAGUCACAUUUCGGUGUGGCGAAGCUGAGAACUUAAGCGCCAGUAAACGGCGGUGGUAACUAUAACCAUCCUAAGGUAGCGAAAUUCCUUGUCGGGUAAGUUCCGACCUGCACGAAUGGCGUAACGACUUCUCGACUGUCUCAACCAUAGGCCCGGUGAAAUUGCAUUACGAGUAAAGAUGCUCGUUUCGCGCAGCAGGACGGAAAGACCCCGGGACCUUUACUACAGUUUGAUAUUGGUGUUCGGUUCGGCUUGUGUAGGAUAGGUGGGAGACUGUGAAGCAUGCACGCCAGUGUGUGUGGAGUCGUCGUUGAAAUACCACUCUGGUCGUGCUGGAUGUCUAACCUGGGUCCGUGAUCCGGAUCAGGGACAGUGUCUGAUGGGUAGUUUAACUGGGGCGGUUGCCUCCUAAAGAGUAACGGAGGCGCCCAAAGGUUCCCUCAGCCUGGUUGGUAAUCAGGUGUUGAGUGUAAGUGCACAAGGGAGCUUGACUGUGAGACCGACGGGUCGAGCAGGGACGAAAGUCGGGACUAGUGAUCCGGCGGUGGCUUGUGGAAGCGCCGUCGCUCAACGGAUAAAAGGUACCCCGGGGAUAACAGGCUGAUCUUCCCCAAGAGUCCAUAUCGACGGGAUGGUUUGGCACCUCGAUGUCGGCUCGUCGCAUCCUGGGGCUGGAGUCGGUCCCAAGGGUUGGGCUGUUCGCCCAUUAAAGCGGUACGCGAGCUGGGUUUAGAACGUCGUGAGACAGUUCGGUCCCUAUCCGCUGUGCGCGUAGGAAUAUUGAGAAGGGCUGUCCCUAGUACGAGAGGACCGGGACGGACGAACCUCUGGUGUGCCAGUUGUUCUGCCAAGGGCAUGGCUGGUUGGCUACGUUCGGGAGGGAUAACCGCUGAAAGCAUCUAAGCGGGAAGCCUGCUUCGAGAUGAGUAUUCCCACCUCCUUGAGAGGGUAAGGCUCCCAGUAGACGACUGGGUUGAUAGGCCGGAUAUGGAAGCCCUGUAAGGGGUGGAGUUGACCGGUACUAAUAGGCCGAGGGCUUGUCCUC
This 1392-nucleotide ribosomal RNA is filed under the name Streptomyces albus subsp. albus. RNAcentral's name for it is "bacterial LSU rRNA". It matches the Rfam family "Bacterial large subunit ribosomal RNA", at positions 1556 to 2925 of the family's 2925-position model. Lineage: Bacteria; Bacillati; Actinomycetota; Actinomycetes; Kitasatosporales; Streptomycetaceae. The record is from RNAcentral.